RNAcentral lists this ribosomal RNA (1046 nucleotides) under uncultured Lactobacillus sp. Its description in RNAcentral is "bacterial SSU rRNA". It matches the Rfam family "Bacterial small subunit ribosomal RNA", at positions 31 to 1040 of the family's 1533-position model. Lineage: Bacteria; Bacillati; Bacillota; Bacilli; Lactobacillales; Lactobacillaceae. The record is from RNAcentral.
GGACGGGCGGGUGCUAUAAUGCAGUCGACGCGUUGGCCCAACUGAUUGAACGUGCUUGCACGGACUUGACGCUGGUUUACCAGCGAGUGGCGGACGGGUGAGUAACACGUAGGUAACCUGCCCCAAAGCGGGGGGUAACAUUUGGAAACAGAUGCUAAUACCGCAUAACAAUUUGAAUCGCAUGAUUCAAAUUUAAAAGAUGGCUUCGGCUAUCACUUUGGGAUGGACCUGCGGCGCAUUAGCUUGUUGGUAGGGUAACGGCCUACCAAGGCUGUGAUGCGUAGCCGAGUUGAGAGACUGAUCGGCCACGAUGGAACUGAGACACGGUCCAUACUCCUACGGGAGGCAGCAGUAGGGAAUCUUCCACAAUGGGCGCAAGCCUGAUGGAGCAACACCGCGUGAGUGAAGAAGGGUUUCGGCUCGUAAAGCUCUGUUGUUAGAGAAGAACGUGCGUGAGAGCAACUGUUCACGCAGUGACGGUAUCUAACCAGAAAGUCACGGCUAACUACGUGCCAGCAGCCGCGGUAAUACGUAGGUGGCAAGCGUUAUCCGGAUUUAUUGGGCGUAAAGCGAGCGCAGGCGGUUUGAUAAGUCUGAUGUGAAAGCCUUUGGCUUAACCAAAGAAGUGCAUCGGAAACUGUCAGACUUGAGUGCAGAAGAGGACAGUGGAACUCCAUGUGUAGCGGUGGAAUGCGUAGAUAUAUGGAAGAACACCAGUGGCGAAGGCGGCUGUCUGGUCUGCAACUGACGCUGAGGCUCGAAAGCAUGGGUAGCGAACAGGAUUAGAUACCCUGGUAGUCCAUGCCGUAAACGAUGAGUGCUAGGUGUUGGAGGGUUUCCGCCCUUCAGUGCCGCAGCUAACGCAUUAAGCACUCCGCCUGGGGAGUACGACCGCAAGGUUGAAACUCAAAGGAAUUGACGGGGGCCCGCACAAGUGGUGGAGCAUGUGGUUUAAUUCGAAGCUACGCGAAGAACCUUACCAGGUCUUGACAUCUUGCGCCAACCCUAGAGAUAGGGCGUUUCCUUCGGGAACGCAAUGACAGGUG